ACUGAAAUAAGAGUUUUGACAUUAAGUAAAUCUCUAAAUCUCAACUCUCAACUCGUAAAAAAAAAUAGAAAUAACGAAUUUACUACCAAUGAAAAGGUAGAUAUAUUAUUGUCACGAUUUAGAUGUUGCGCCAUGUUUUCAACAAUAUCUAAGCAUUAAUUGGAAUUGAAAUUGCAAUUCUCUCUAUAAUAAAUAACACCACUAUUAUCUGCAUAACAAAAUUAAAUCCGAAAUGAGGUGUUUCCACUUUCCUUGCAAUCCCCGUUUAUGAUGAAAUUAAGAUUAUGAGAGGAAAAGAUAAGAUGAAUUAGCCCAGCAAAUAACAAUAACUAAUCUUGAGCUAUUAGUUCCUUCACAUGAACCUCUGAAUUCAAUGAUAAUCUCUCAGCUCCGGCCUUCUCCCUACGGCGGCGCAGGUGGUAAACGACACCGGAGACAACCAGCAAAGCCACGCCGGCGAAGCCACAAAUCGCCGCAGCAGCCAGCAACCCCAACCUCACGUGAUCUCGCCGAAGGUCGCGCGAUCCACGGACACUCGACCACGCGUCUCCGCCGCCGCCGAUGUUGAAAAUAACCAUCUGCAUAAGUCAAAGAUUAUUAUUCAAAGAUCAUGAAUAAUAAUUCAACGAUAAAAUCUUUAGCUUUUGAUUUUAAGAGAUUGUAUUUGAUUUUAAGAGAUUGUAGUUUGACAUUUGAUUCACCCUUACACUAUAAAAGGGUGCAUUGUAAUCUAAAGAAAUAUAUCAGAGACAUUAUCAAUUCUCUCUACAUUUUCUAUCAUGUUGUUCUUUCUCAACCUAGCUUCUCUCGAUUACCAUAUUUAAGAUGGUAUCAAAGCAGGUUAACCACCAAA
RNAcentral lists this long non-coding RNA (853 nucleotides) under Salvia miltiorrhiza (redroot sage). RNAcentral describes it as "long non-coding RNA (SMIL_LNC005610)". Lineage: Eukaryota; Viridiplantae; Streptophyta; Magnoliopsida; Lamiales; Lamiaceae. The record is from RNAcentral.